Molecule: long non-coding RNA, 565 nt
Organism: Lolium rigidum
Lineage: Eukaryota; Viridiplantae; Streptophyta; Magnoliopsida; Poales; Poaceae
Exons: 2
Source: RefSeq, a predicted model, not a curated record
AGCUGUUGGUCGCAAGUGGCGGCGCAGCUACCUCUCAGCCGCAGAAGGCCUCGCGGCAAGCUAUUCGUCCGGGAAGUGGCAACCCGCACAACAUCGUUCUACCAUCGACAUGACAAGCGAGUCCCGCCCGUAGACUCUCUCUUUGCAGUCUUGGAGCCAUCUCAUGUGUGUAUCUAUGCAGUAUGAAUGAACAUAUAUGCCUCUAUGCAUCAGAGCGUGGUGAAUGUGGUAUACUGAAGAAGCCAGAGCAUGCCUUGCAGGUCUGAAUCUUGCCGUGAUGCAACUAAACAAUCCUAUAAUCUUGGAGCUGGAUAGCACAACCUUGUCUUCGGCUGUAAAUAACAAGUGUUGGAAAUUCUGAAGAAUUUACGACAUCUACAAAAAGAUAAAAAAUCUGAAGACAAAACAGCAGUCCAUAACUUGGUAGUUCUGGGAGAACUAGGAACAUUGGUGUUUGCUUUGGCCAGUAUACCAGGAACUCACCGAACUGGUUGUAACCGGCACAUUGUAAACUCUGGUCUUGUGAAGCAAUAAACUAAUGUACAGGGCUUUUAAGUUCUUGAUA